AUUGAACGCUGGCGGCAGGCCUAACACAUGCAAGUCGAGCGGAUGAAGGGAGCUUGCUCCUGGAUUCAGCGGCGGACGGGUGAGUAAUGCCUAGGAAUCUGCCUGGUAGUGGGGGAUAACGUCCGGAAACGGGCGCUAAUACCGCAUACGUCCUGAGGGAGAAAGUGGGGGAUCUUCGGACCUCACGCUAUCAGAUGGGCCUAGGUCGGAUUAGCUAGUUGGUGGGGUAAAGGCCUACCAAGGCGACGAUCCGUAACUGGUCUGAGAGGAUGAUCAGUCACACUGGAACUGAGACACGGUCCAGACUCCUACGGGAGGCAGCAGUGGGGAAUAUUGGACAAUGGGCGAAAGCCUGAUCCAGCCAUGCCGCGUGUGUGAAGAAGGUCUUCGGAUUGUAAAGCACUUUAAGUUGGGAGGAGGGGCAGUAAGUUAAUACCUUGCUGUUUUGACGUUACCAACAGAAUAAGCACCGGCUAACUUCGUG
This 484-nucleotide ribosomal RNA is filed under the name uncultured bacterium. RNAcentral's name for it is "partial 16S ribosomal RNA". It matches the Rfam family "Bacterial small subunit ribosomal RNA", at positions 30 to 507 of the family's 1533-position model. The record is from RNAcentral.